GAUGAACGCUGGCGGCGUGCCUAAUACAUGCAAGUCGAGCGAACGGACGAGAAGCUUGCUUCUCUGAUGUUAGCGGCGGACGGGUGAGUAACACGUGGAUAACCUACCUAUAAGACUGGGAUAACUUCGGGAAACCGGAGCUAAUACCGGAUAAUAUUUUGAACCGCAUGGUUCAAAAGUGAAAGACGGUCUUGCUGUCACUUAUAGAUGGAUCCGCGCUGCAUUCGCUAGUUGGUAAGGUAACGGCUUACCAAGGCAACGAUGCAUAGCCGACCUGAGAGGGUGAUCGGCCACACUGGAACUGAGACACGGUCCAGACUCCUACGGGAGGCAGCAGUAGGGAAUCUUCCGCAAUGGGCGAAAGCCUGACGGAGCAACGCCGCGUGAGUGAUGAAGGUCUUCGGAUCGUAAAACUCUGUUAUUAGGGAAGAACAUAUGUGUAAGUAACUGUGCACAUCUUGACGGUACCUAAUCAGAAAGCCACGGCUAACUACGUG
This 497-nucleotide ribosomal RNA is filed under the name uncultured bacterium. Its description in RNAcentral is "partial 16S ribosomal RNA". It matches the Rfam family "Bacterial small subunit ribosomal RNA", at positions 28 to 507 of the family's 1533-position model. The record is from RNAcentral.